UGCUAUACAUGCAAGUCGAACGCGUUGGCCCAAUUGAUUGAUGGUGCUUGCACCUGAUUGAUUUUGGUCGCCAACGAGUGGCGGACGGGUGAGUAACACGUAGGUAACCUGCCCAGAAGCGGGGGACAACAUUUGGAAACAGAUGCUAAUACCGCAUAACAGCGUUGUUCGCAUGAACAACGCUUAAAAGAUGGCUUCUCGCUAUCACUUCUGGAUGGACCUGCGGUGCAUUAGCUUGUUGGUGGGGUAACGGCCUACCAAGGCGAUGAUGCAUAGCCGAGUUGAGAGACUGAUCGGCCACAAUGGGACUGAGACACGGCCCAUACUCCUACGGGAGGCAGCAGUAGGGAAUCUUCCACAAUGGGCGCAAGCCUGAUGGAGCAACACCGCGUGAGUGAAGAAGGGUUUCGGCUCGUAAAGCUCUGUUGUUAAAGAAGAACACGUAUGAGAGUAACUGUUCAUACGUUGACGGUAUUUAACCAGAAAGUCACGGCUAACUACGUGCCAGCAGCCGCGGUAAUACGUAGGUGGCAAGCGUUAUCCGGAUUUAUUGGGCGUAAAGAGAGUGCAGGCGGUUUUCUAAGUCUGAUGUGAAAGCCUUCGGCUUAACCGGAGAAGUGCAUCGGAAACUGGAUAACUUGAGUGCAGAAGAGGGUAGUGGAACUCCAUGUGUAGCGGUGGAAUGCGUAGAUAUAUGGAAGAACACCAGUGGCGAAGGCGGCUACCUGGUCUGCAACUGACGCUGAGACUCGAAAGCAUGGGUAGCGAACAGGAUUAGAUACCCUGGUAGUCCAUGCCGUAAACGAUGAGUGCUAGGUGUUGGAGGGUUUCCGCCCUUCAGUGCCGGAGCUAACGCAUUAAGCACUCCGCCUGGGGAGUACGACCGCAAGGUUGAAACUCAAAGGAAUUGACGGGGGCCCGCACAAGCGGUGGAGCAUGUGGUUUAAUUCGAAGCUACGCGAAGAACCUUACCAGGUCUUGACAUCUUGCGCCAACCCUAGAGAUAGGGCGUCUCCUUCGGGAACGCAAUGACAGGUGGUGCAUGGUCGUCGUCAGCUCGUGUCGUGAGAUGUUGGGUUAAGUCCCGCAACGAGCGCAACCCUUGUUACUAGUUGCCAGCAUUAAGUUGGGCACUCUAGUGAGACUGCCGGUGACAAACCGGAGGAAGGUGGGGACGACGUCAGAUCAUCAUGCCCCUUAUGACCUGGGCUACACACGUGCUACAAUGGACGGUACAACGAGUCGCGAACUCGCGAGGGCAAGCAAAUCUCUUAAAACCGUUCUCAGUUCGGACUGCAGGCUGCAACUCGCCUGCACGAAGUCGGAAUCGCUAGUAAUCGCGGAUCAGCAUGCCGCGGUGAAUACGUUCCCGGGCCUUGUACACACCGCCCGUCACACCAUGAGAGUUUGUAACACCCAAAGUCGGUGGGGUAACCUUUUAGGAGCCAGCCGCCUAAGGUGGACAGA
This 1467-nucleotide ribosomal RNA is filed under the name Limosilactobacillus fermentum. RNAcentral describes it as "bacterial SSU rRNA". It matches the Rfam family "Bacterial small subunit ribosomal RNA". The record is from RNAcentral. Lineage: Bacteria; Bacillati; Bacillota; Bacilli; Lactobacillales; Lactobacillaceae.